UACAAUCAUACAAAUGUUUGUUUUAUUUCUUGUAGCGACAAAUGUAUACAUAUUAUUAUUUAUUAAUAUGAAAAAGUCAUACAAAUUAAAUGUUGAUUGUUGGUUUUACCAUACUGUGUGGGCUUUCCUUUCAUUUUUCAAGUCUCCAACCCCCCCUGUCACGUCCCUGUUGCUAAACCACGCGAGAUUUGUACGGAAUGUUUUGAAAGACUCGUG
Non-coding RNA from Paramuricea clavata, 216 nucleotides. The record is from the annotation of a GenBank genome assembly. NCBI's taxonomy places the organism in Eukaryota, Metazoa, Cnidaria, Anthozoa, Malacalcyonacea, Plexauridae.